AGAUUUUGAAUGAUACUCUUUCAGAAGUUGUUGGACAUUAUCAGAAGGGAAUGCAUUUUGGAGAGGCAGGUUUUUUGUUUGGAAAACAAGCCACGUUGACAGUACGUGCUGUGACAUGCUGUGAAAUUGUAGUUAUUGAUUUUGACAAAAUCAGAGUACUUCUUGAGAAAUAUCCCCUGCUUAAAAGGCAAAUUACAGAAUUCCAAUCAGAGCCAAAAUGCUACACGACAUUGGUGGAGACUGCAGAGAAAUUAUUGAAAAGGCAAUCCCAUCUCCAAGAAUCUGACAUUGCACAGAGACAAAAAGUCACGUUGGCAUUUCAGGGCCGUAGAUUUUCCAAGAAGACAAAAUGUUGUGAGUAUUUUGAGAAACAUUACUCCAUACAGAAUAUAUAGGAGUAUAUAGUAUAUAUGUAGGAGUACAAGCAAAAAGUCUUUAAUCAAGGAAUCACAGGGAUAAUCCACAAUGGGAACACAGGACAUCCAACAAGUAGACCCGACAGAGACAAAACUGAACA
This is a long non-coding RNA of Cyprinus carpio (common carp), 517 nucleotides long. RefSeq lists it as uncharacterized. The transcript has 3 exons. NCBI's taxonomy places the organism in Eukaryota, Metazoa, Chordata, Actinopteri, Cypriniformes, Cyprinidae. The record is from RefSeq and is a predicted model, not a curated record.